RNAcentral lists this ribosomal RNA (732 nucleotides) under Triticum aestivum (bread wheat). RNAcentral describes it as "partial small subunit ribosomal RNA". The record is from RNAcentral. Lineage: Eukaryota; Viridiplantae; Streptophyta; Magnoliopsida; Poales; Poaceae.
AUGUCGUGCGCGAAGAGCACGGUGGUCGCGGAGACGAGGAGGUCACAGAGGACCUGCGUAGUGGCGCAGAGGUCGCGGCGGCUCGGUGCGACAACCGUGGAGGCGCGUGGCACGGAGCCGCGGCGGACCUGCGUGGUGGCGCAGAGGCUGCGGUGGCGCGGCAUGGCGGCAUGGAGGUGCUGCGCUGCGGUUGAGGCCGCAGCGGUGCAGGGCAAUAAGCCGUGGCGGCGAGCCGGGCGCGACCGGUGCGUGUUAUGGGUGCGCACUGGACGCGUCGGACGCGUCGGGACCGCGGGCGCGCGUACGAGCGUGCGGUUGACGUUGGGAGGAGGCGUAUGUCGCCAUUGUGUUCGAGUCCGUGCUCGAGUUCGGCUACAUCCUUCCGGCGUUUGUCGCUGGCGGCUGCCAUGGCGGACGCGGAGGCGGCGCGCGGUGAGCGUCUGGUGCGGUUGGACUCGUCGGGCGCGUCGGGUGCGCGCGGGACGUGCGGGACGCACUGGUGCGGUCGGGCUCGUCGGGUGCGUCGGGUGCGCGCGGACUUGCGGGACGCACUGUUGCGGUCCGGCGCUUCGGGUGCGCGCGGGACGUGCGGGGCGCCGAGGGACGGCAGGCGUAUGUCGCCGGCGGAGAAGGAGCUCGGUGUGUGUCGCCGGAGUCGUGACGGAGCACGUUGCGACCGGCGUCGUUGCGAGGUCGGGUCCACGGGCUGGGUCACGGUCGUGGCGACAUUGA